This 252-nucleotide ribosomal RNA is filed under the name uncultured bacterium. RNAcentral's name for it is "partial 16S ribosomal RNA". It matches the Rfam family "Bacterial small subunit ribosomal RNA", at positions 524 to 776 of the family's 1533-position model. The record is from RNAcentral.
GACGAACCGAGCGAACGUUGUUCGGAAUCACUGGGCUUAAAGGGCGCGUAGGCGGGCGGCCGCGUCCGGGGUGAAAUCCCACGGCUCAACCGUGGAACGGCCUCGGAUACGGGCGGCCUGGAGGCGGGUAGGGGCAGGCGGAACUGUGGGUGGAGCGGUGAAAUGCGUUGAGAUCCACAGGAACUCCGGUGGCGAAGGCGGCCUGCUGGACCCGAACUGACGCUGAGGCGCGAAAGCCAGGGAGCGAACGGG